UUGGAUGGUAGUGUAUUGGACUACCAUGGCUUUUACGGGUAACGGGGGAUUAGGGUUCGAUUCCGGAGAGGGAGCCUGAGAAACGGCUACCACAUCUAAGGAAGGCAGCAGGCGCGUAAAUUACCCAAUCCUAAUUCAGGGAGGUAGUGACAAGAAAUAACGGACCGGAGCCUAUGUUCCGGGAUUGCAAUGAGUUGAAUUUAAACCCCUUGACGAGGAUCAAUUGGAGGGCAAGUCUGGUGCCAGCAGCCGCGGUAAUUCCAGCUCCAAUAGCGUAUAUUAAAGUUGUUGCAGUUAAAAAGCUCGUAGUUGGAUUUCUGGGAGGGUGCCAAUGUCCGCCGCGCGCGUGUGCAGCGGCGUCCUUCCAUCCUUCUGUUAACGUUUCGCGGUAUUCACUUACCAGUUGCGGGCUCAGAUAUUUUACCUUGAGAAAAUUAGAGUGUUUCAGGCAGGCUUGCGCCGGAAUACAUUAGCACGGAAUAAUAGAAUAGGACUUUUGUCUCCUCUGUUGGUUUGAGGGACUGAAGUAAUGAUUAAUAGGGAUAGUUGGGGGCAUUAGUAUUUAAUUGUCAGAGGUGAAAUUCUCGGAUUUGUUAAAGACUAACUUAUGCGAAAGCAUUUGCCAAGGAUGUUUUCAUUAAUCAAGAACGAAAGUUAGGGGAUCAAAGACGAUCAGAUACCGUC
Molecule: ribosomal RNA, 684 nt
Filed under: uncultured ciliate
Lineage: Eukaryota; Ciliophora
Description: SSU rRNA
Rfam family: Eukaryotic small subunit ribosomal RNA
Source: RNAcentral